GGUUAAGCGACUAAGCGUACACGGUGGAUGCCCUGGCAGUCAGAGGCGAUGAAGGACGUGCUAAUCUGCGAUAAGCGUCGGUGAGGUGAUAUGAACCGUUAUAACCGGCGAUUUCCGAAUGGGGAAACCCAGUGUGAUUCGUCACACUAUCAUUAACUGAAUCCAUAGGUUAAUGAGGCGAACCGGGGGAACUGAAACAUCUAAGUACCCCGAGGAAAAGAAAUCAACCGAGAUUCCCCCAGUAGCGGCGAGCGAACGGGGAGGAGCCCAGAGCCUGAAUCAGUGUGUGUGUUAGUGGAAGCGUCUGGAAAGGCGCGCGAUACAGGGUGACAGCCCCGUACACAAAAAUGCACAUACUGUGAGCUCGAUGAGUAGGGCGGGACACGUGGUAUCCUGUCUGAAUAUGGGGGGACCAUCCUCCAAGGCUAAAUACUCCUGACUGACCGAUAGUGAACCAGUACCGUGAGGGAAAGGCGAAAAGAACCCCGGCGAGGGGAGUGAAAAAGAACCUGAAACCGUGUACGUACAAGCAGUGGGAGCCUCUUAAUGGGGUGACUGCGUACCUUUUGUAUAAUGGGUCAGCGACUUAUAUUCUGUAGCAAGGUUAACCGAAUAGGGGAGCCGAAGGGAAACCGAGUCUUAACUGGGCGUUAAGUUGCAGGGUAUAGACCCGAAACCCGGUGAUCUAGCCAUGGGCAGGUUGAAGGUUGGGUAACACUAACUGGAGGACCGAACCGACUAAUGUUGAAAAAUUAGCGGAUGACUUGUGGCUGGGGGUGAAAGGCCAAUCAAACCGGGAGAUAGCUGGUUCUCCCCGAAAGCUAUUUAGGUAGCGCCUCGUGAAUUCAUCUCCGGGGGUAGAGCACUGUUUCGGCAAGGGGGUCAUCCCGACUUACCAACCCGAUGCAAACUGCGAAUACCGGAGAAUGUUAUCACGGGAGACACACGGCGGGUGCUAACGUCCGUCGUGAAGAGGGAAACAACCCAGACCGCCAGCUAAGGUCCCAAAGUCAUGGUUAAGUGGGAAACGAUGUGGGAAGGCCCAGACAGCCAGGAUGUUGGCUUAGAAGCAGCCAUCAUUUAAAGAAAGCGUAAUAGCUCACUGGUCGAGUCGGCCUGCGCGGAAGAUGUAACGGGGCUAAACCAUGCACCGAAGCUGCGGCAGCGACGCUUAUGCGUUGUUGGGUAGGGGAGCGUUCUGUAAGCCUGUGAAGGUGGCCUGUGAGGGUUGCUGGAGGUAUCAGAAGUGCGAAUGCUGACAUAAGUAACGAUAAAGCGGGUGAAAAGCCCGCUCGCCGGAAGACCAAGGGUUCCUGUCCAACGUUAAUCGGGGCAGGGUGAGUCGACCCCUAAGGCGAGGCCGAAAGGCGUAGUCGAUGGGAAACAGGUUAAUAUUCCUGUACUUGGUGUUACUGCGAAGGGGGGACGGAGAAGGCUAUGUUGGCCGGGCGACGGUUGUCCCGGUUUAAGCGUGUAGGCUGGUUUUCCAGGCAAAUCCGGAAAAUCAAGGCUGAGGCGUGAUGACGAGGCACUACGGUGCUGAAGCGACAAAUGCCCUGCUUCCAGGAAAAGCCUCUAAGCAUCAGGUAACAUCAAAUCGUACCCCAAACCGACACAGGUGGUCAGGUAGAGAAUACCAAGGCGCUUGAGAGAACUCGGGUGAAGGAACUAGGCAAAAUGGUGCCGUAACUUCGGGAGAAGGCACGCUGAUAUGUAGGUGAAGCGACUUGCUCGUGGAGCUGAAAUCAGUCGAAGAUACCAGCUGGCUGCAACUGUUUAUUAAAAACACAGCACUGUGCAAACACGAAAGUGGACGUAUACGGUGUGACGCCUGCCCGGUGCCGGAAGGUUAAUUGAUGGGGUUAGCGGUAACGCGAAGCUCUUGAUCGAAGCCCCGGUAAACGGCGGCCGUAACUAUAACGGUCCUAAGGUAGCGAAAUUCCUUGUCGGGUAAGUUCCGACCUGCACGAAUGGCGUAAUGAUGGCCAGGCUGUCUCCACCCGAGACUCAGUGAAAUUGAACUCGCUGUGAAGAUGCAGUGUACCCGCGGCAAGACGGAAAGACCCCGUGAACCUUUACUAUAGCUUGACACUGAACAUUGAGCCUUGAUGUGUAGGAUAGGUGGGAGGCUUUGAAGUGUGGACGCCAGUCUGCAUGGAGCCGACCUUGAAAUACCACCCUUUAAUGUUUGAUGUUCUAACGUGGGCCCCUUACCGGGGUUGCGGACAGUGUCUGGUGGGUAGUUUGACUGGGGCGGUCUCCUCCUAAAGAGUAACGGAGGAGCACGAAGGUUGGCUAAUCCUGGUCGGACAUCAGGAGGUUAGUGCAAUGGCAUAAGCCAGCUUGACUGCGAGCGUGACGGCGCGAGCAGGUGCGAAAGCAGGUCAUAGUGAUCCGGUGGUUCUGAAUGGAAGGGCCAUCGCUCAACGGAUAAAAGGUACUCCGGGGAUAACAGGCUGAUACCGCCCAAGAGUUCAUAUCGACGGCGGUGUUUGGCACCUCGAUGUCGGCUCAUCACAUCCUGGGGCUGAAGUAGGUCCCAAGGGUAUGGCUGUUCGCCAUUUAAAGUGGUACGCGAGCUGGGUUUAGAACGUCGUGAGACAGUUCGGUCCCUAUCUGCCGUGGGCGCUGGAGAACUGAGGGGGGCUGCUCCUAGUACGAGAGGACCGGAGUGGACGCAUCACUGGUGUUCGGGUUGUCAUGCCAAUGGCACUGCCCGGUAGCUAAAUGCGGAAGAGAUAAGUGCUGAAAGCAUCUAAGCACGAAACUUGCCCCGAGAUGAGUUCUCCCUGAGACUUAGAGUCUCCUGAAGGAACGUUGAAGACGACGACGUUGAUAGGCCGGGUGUGUAAGCGCAGCGAUGCGUUGAGCUAACCGGUACUAAUGAACCGUGAGGCUUAACCUU
This 2905-nucleotide ribosomal RNA is filed under the name Escherichia coli. RNAcentral describes it as "23S ribosomal RNA". It matches the Rfam family "Bacterial large subunit ribosomal RNA". Lineage: Bacteria; Pseudomonadati; Pseudomonadota; Gammaproteobacteria; Enterobacterales; Enterobacteriaceae. The record is from RNAcentral.